AGAUUGAACGCUGGCGGCAGGCCUAACACAUGCAAGUCGAGCGGUAGAGAGGUGCUUGCACCUCUUGAGAGCGGCGGACGGGUGAGUAAUGCCUAGGAAUCUGCCUAGUGGUGGGGGAUAACGUUCGGAAACGGACGCUAAUACCGCAUACGUCCUACGGGAGAAAGCGGGGGACCUUCGGGCCUCGCGCCAUUAGAUGAGCCUAGGUCGGAUUAGCUAGUUGGUGAGGUAAUGGCUCACCAAGGCGACGAUCCGUAACUGGUCUGAGAGGAUUGAUCAGUCACACUGGAACUGAGACACGGUCCAGACUCCUACGGGAGGCAGCAGUGGGGAAUAUUGGACAAUGGGCGAAAAGCCUGAUCCAGCCAUGCCGCGUGUGUGAAGAAGGUCUUCGGAUUGUAAAAGCAACUUUUAAAGUGGGAGGAAAGGGUUAGUAAACUUAAAUUAACGUUGUCAAACUUUGACGUUUACCGAACCAGAAAUAAAGACAACCCGGACUAAACCUUACGCGCCAGCCAAGCCGACGGUUAAC
RNAcentral lists this ribosomal RNA (532 nucleotides) under uncultured soil bacterium. Its description in RNAcentral is "bacterial SSU rRNA". It matches the Rfam family "Bacterial small subunit ribosomal RNA", at positions 26 to 525 of the family's 1533-position model. The record is from RNAcentral.